RNAcentral lists this small nucleolar RNA (75 nucleotides) under Tinamus guttatus (white-throated tinamou). RNAcentral describes it as "Small nucleolar RNA SNORD26". It matches the Rfam family "Small nucleolar RNA SNORD26". Rfam says of the family: U26 is a member of the C/D class of snoRNA which contain the C (UGAUGA) and D (CUGA) box motifs. U26 is encoded within the U22 snoRNA host gene (UHG) in mammals and is thought to act as a 2'-O-ribose methylation guide for ribosomal RNA. Lineage: Eukaryota; Metazoa; Chordata; Aves; Tinamiformes; Tinamidae. The record is from Rfam by way of RNAcentral.
CUGCAAGGAUGAGACCCCUGAACUCUCUCUUUCCGACGGCCGAGUGGGGAAACGCUCCAUGGGAAGCUGAGCGGC